RNAcentral lists this ribosomal RNA (354 nucleotides) under uncultured eukaryote. RNAcentral describes it as "SSU rRNA". It matches the Rfam family "Eukaryotic small subunit ribosomal RNA", at positions 587 to 972 of the family's 1831-position model. The record is from RNAcentral.
AGCUCCAAUAGCGUAUAUUAAAGUUGUUGCAGUUAAAAAGCUCGUAGUUGAACCUUGGCGUCAGCUAGGCGGGACUGAGCAAUCAGGCUCGCUGGGCGGCGCCGUAGAGGAGCGAACGGGCAACCGCCUCGCUCCGUGUUACUGUGAAGAAAUUAGAGUGUUUAAAGCAGGCAGCCGCUUGAAUACAUCAGCAUGGAAUAACAAGAUAGGACUAGCGUCCCACUUGUUGGUUUGGGGGCAUUAGUAAUGAUUAAUAGGGCCAGUUGGGGGCAUUAGUAUUCAGUAGUCAGAGGUGAAAUUCUUGGAUUUACUGAAGACUAACUAGUGCGAAAGCAUUUGCCAAGGAUGUUUUCA